CUGUGACCCCACUGAAGGAGACCCAGGAGAUCCAGCCCACAGGGGACAGUCCUUCCUGCCCACCAGCUCCUCUGUGUAUCUCAGAGCUUACAGUCAAAUUGGGAAGAUUAGAUGCACACCCAUAAGAAAUCACACACACAGGAAGCAUAUGAUGGGUGUUGAAACAGUAAAAUAAACUCUUCAUCAAAAAAUCGGAACUACAAACCACCCACCACAUAACAAGCACUAAUAAACAUUUGCUGAUUUUACUUAAUGACAUGGAGGUCUUUGAAUGAAU
Molecule: long non-coding RNA, 277 nt
Organism: Mustela erminea (ermine)
Lineage: Eukaryota; Metazoa; Chordata; Mammalia; Carnivora; Mustelidae
Exons: 3
Source: RefSeq, a predicted model, not a curated record